This is a long non-coding RNA of Dalotia coriaria, 1206 nucleotides long. RefSeq lists it as uncharacterized. The record is from RefSeq and is a predicted model, not a curated record. Lineage: Eukaryota; Metazoa; Arthropoda; Insecta; Coleoptera; Staphylinidae. The transcript is spliced from 3 exons.
AAGGUUUAAAAGGUGAGAAAAAUUCGAAUAAUUGCCGGGAAAAUCCUCAAAACAGCUCUUUUCUAUAGAAUAAAAUUUGACAUUGAGAUUCAAUCAUAGUUAUAGUUAAAUAGUUGAAUUCGAGAUGGCGCGCUGAAGUGCAUUAUUGACAAAACUUUAUAUGCAUAAUUUCUUUAAAUUAAAAUUGCUAAUCUUAUUGAUAGAAUUGACUCUUACUACGAGUAUGUCUAGAACAAGAGAGUAAAACGAAUUACAUUUUUAUUAAACACUGCCGGAACGAAGUCGCGGGCAACAUCUAGUUAGUAAUAAAAUAUUUGCGUAUUUUAAUACUAUGUGUAUGGUGGGUUGCUGCCGUGAACAAGGAUAAUUAAAGACAUAAAUAUUGCCAGCGGGUAAAAAAACAGGGAAAGUGAGCUUUUCACGCAAAUACGCAAUCGAUAUCGCGAGGCGCAGUCGAUGGAAACAAAGCGGCGGCGGUGACGCUGUUGCUUCCCAGUUUUCCACAUUUUCCGAGGUGCUAUUGGUCAAUACCAACGUGAAACACGAAGCAUACAGAGUGUCAGACACGCAGCGCGUUGUUCUCACGACCAACUCGCUGUGGUUGUUUAUUUUCCAGGACAAACGAGAAAUAGAGAACUAGGUUUUAUGUUGGCGAGAAUAAUUUAUGUUACUCUCCACCAACAUGCGAAUGGACUUAAUUAGGUUUUUCCCUUUUUCUCCACGUCGUGCGUGCUAUCCACGGCGAAUAUUUAUAUAAAUAUGCAGGAAACGUGUGAUUUGUGAAUUUCUGACCAAUCAAACCCUGGUACAACCUCAUUGGAUGCUGUGAAAACAUGCGCGUUGCGAAAUUUCAUCCCCCUGAGAGAAUCACCAUAGCAACGGGAUGCUGGGGGUGGAACCAAUCGCAAAACACGCCAGGAAAAUUGAUUUUCUCUAAGCGCAUUACACAAUAAGAUGGUAAAUACAAUAUAAUCGGAUUAUAUUCUACCAAAGAAGCCCCAACUGGAGAAUUUCAACUAAUUCAAUACACGUCAACAAAUCAGAGUAAAUAUAUAAAGAUAACCGAUAAUAUUGCUUACUCUGGGUAUAAAUAUAACUCGUUAUCAUGUUUACUGCACCAGCAUGUCAAGAUGUCUUGACCUCAGUGUUUUUUUAUCUUUACUGCUCACAUACCAACAAAUACCAAGUAAAAACUAUGUAGGUCUU